Molecule: ribosomal RNA, 601 nt
Filed under: Prosopocoilus astacoides blanchardi
Lineage: Eukaryota; Metazoa; Arthropoda; Insecta; Coleoptera; Lucanidae
Description: partial 16S ribosomal RNA
Rfam family: Bacterial large subunit ribosomal RNA
Source: RNAcentral
UGAAGGAAUUCGGCAAAUUUAUUCCUUGCCUGUUUAUUAAAAACAUGGCCUUUUGAUGAUGAUUUAAGGUCUGGCCUGCCCAAUGAUUAAUUUAACGGCCGCGGUACUCUGACCGUGCAAAGGUAGCAUAAUCAUUAGUUUUUUAAUUGAAAGCUGGAAUGAACGGUCGGACAAGGGAAUAACUGUCUUUAUCUAAUUAGUAGAAUUUUAUUUUUUAGUCAGAAAGCUUAAAUGGGUUUGAGGGACGAGAAGACCCUAUAGAAUUUUAUAAGUUUUUUUUGUAUUGAUUUUCGGGUUUGUUGAGUUUAUUUGGAAAGGACUUAUUUUGUUGGGGUGAUGGAAAAAUUUAAGAAACUUUUUUUUUUGAGUUUCACUGAUUUGUGAAUAAUUGAUCCACGAUUUGUGAUUAUAAGAUUAAAUUACCUUAGGGAUAACAGCGUAAUUGGUUUGGAGAGUUCAUAUCGAUAAACUAGUUUGCGACCUCGAUGUUGGAUUAAAAUGAACUUAUGGUGUAGGGGCUAUGAAGUUAAGUCUGUUCGACUUUUAAAAUUUUACAUGAUCUGAGUUUAAACCGGCGUGAGCCAGGUUGGUUUCUAUCUUU